Molecule: transfer RNA, 74 nt
Filed under: Candidatus Nomurabacteria bacterium
Lineage: Bacteria; Candidatus Nomuraibacteriota
Description: tRNA-Gly
Rfam family: tRNA
About the family: Transfer RNA (tRNA) molecules are approximately 80 nucleotides in length. Their secondary structure includes four short double-helical elements and three loops (D, anti-codon, and T loops). Further hydrogen bonds mediate the characteristic L-shaped molecular structure. tRNAs have two regions of fundamental functional importance: the anti-codon, which is responsible for specific mRNA codon recognition, and the 3' end, to which the tRNAs corresponding amino acid is attached (by aminoacyl-tRNA synthetases). tRNAs cope with the degeneracy of the genetic code in two manners: having more than one tRNA (with a specific anti-codon) for a particular amino acid; and 'wobble' base-pairing, i.e. permitting non-standard base-pairing at the 3rd anti-codon position.
Source: RNAcentral
GCGGGUAUCGUAUAGCGGUAAUAUGUUUGCUUCCCAAGCAAGAGACGGGGUUUCGACUACCCCUACCCGCACCA